This 535-nucleotide ribosomal RNA is filed under the name uncultured bacterium. RNAcentral describes it as "bacterial SSU rRNA". It matches the Rfam family "Bacterial small subunit ribosomal RNA", at positions 95 to 630 of the family's 1533-position model. The record is from RNAcentral.
GUGGCGCACGGGUGAGUAACACGUAAGUAAUCUGCCUUUAGGUCUGACAUAACCCAUCGAAAGGUGGGAUAAUAUCAGAUGAUGCAGCGGCUUGACAUCAAGACAGUUGUUAAACCUUCGGGGUCUGAAGAUGAGCUUGCGUCCCAUUAGAUUGUUGGCGGAGUAACAGCCCACCAAGUCUGCGAUGGGUAGCUGGUCUGAGAGGAUGAUCAGCCACACUGGAACUGAGACACGGUCCAGACUCCUACGGGAGGCAGCAGUAAGGAAUAUUGCUCAAUGGCCGAAAGGCUGAAGCAGCAACGCCGCGUGAAGGAUGAAGUCCUUUUGGAUGUAAACUUCUGUAGAGAAGGAGAAAACCCCCGUUCUACGGGGAUUGAUAGUACUUCUAAAGUAAGCCCCGGCUAACUACGUGCCAGCAGCCGCGGUAAUACGUAGGGGGCGAGCGUUGUCCGGAUUUACUGGGUGUAAAGGGUGCUCAGGUGGUUUUAUAAGUCAGGGGUGAAAUUCUAAAGCUUAACUUUGGAACUGCCCUUGA